GGAGGCCAAAAAAAACAAAUAAAUGGUCUCAAAACCUUAGAAUUUAAAGGAAGGAGUCUGAUUGCAUGAGGACGAAAACUAAUGUGAGAUACAUGAUGGUCUUAUGUGUAGGCAACAACAAUCCCACGGGGAAUAAGUUGGCUGGCCAGGGCAAACAGCUUGCGAGCUUAUAUUAAACCAAUUCGGCCGAGCAGUGCUUGUGCAGAGUAUUCAAAGGCUAGUUCUUGAGUACUAACACAACUUAACCUAACAUAUCUCAACUCAUCAACUACAUAGCGACGUCAACAAAUCAUUAGCCAACAACAAUCUAUAUGGCUAUUUAAGUACGGAUAUGUAACAAUCUAGGAUCUCACGCUAGCCGGAAGGCAUUAUUUUGGUUCAUUGAUCCUAUAUAAGUAUCUAAGAUCUGUCUGACGAAUAAUCGAUAUACGACUAAACACACCCCCGUAUGGAUCAUUACAUACUUCCUCCGUUUAAGCUCCAACAUUUUCGUUGGGCUAAGGAUCCAAAUCU
RNAcentral lists this long non-coding RNA (513 nucleotides) under Phoenix dactylifera (date palm). RNAcentral describes it as "long non-coding RNA (PDAC_LNC016164)". Lineage: Eukaryota; Viridiplantae; Streptophyta; Magnoliopsida; Arecales; Arecaceae. The record is from RNAcentral.